This 468-nucleotide ribosomal RNA is filed under the name uncultured bacterium. RNAcentral's name for it is "partial 16S ribosomal RNA". It matches the Rfam family "Bacterial small subunit ribosomal RNA", at positions 28 to 507 of the family's 1533-position model. The record is from RNAcentral.
GACGAACGCUGGCGGCGUGCUUAACACAUGCAAGUCGAACGGAAAGGCCCUGCUUUUGUGGGGUGCUCGAGUGGCGAACGGGUGAGUAACACGUGAGUAACCUGCCCUUGACUUUGGGAUAACUUCAGGAAACUGGGGCUAAUACCGGAUAGGAGCUCCUGCUGCAUGGUGGGGGUUGGAAAGUUUCGGCGGUUGGGGAUGGACUCGCGGCUUAUCAGCUUGUUGGUGGGGUAGUGGCUUACCAAGGCUUUGACGGGUAGCCGGCCUGGGAGGGUGACCGGCCACAUUGGGACUGAGAUACGGCCCAGACUCCUACGGGAGGCAGCAGUGGGGAAUAUUGCACAAUGGACGGAAGCCUGAUGCAGCAACGCCGCGUGCGGGAUGACGGCCUUCGGGUUGUAAACCGCUUUCGCCUGUGACGAAGCGUGAGUGACGGUAAUGGGUAAAGAAGCACCGGCUAACUACGUG